GUUGUAGCUCAGUGACAGAGCAUCUGCUUUGCAUGCAGAAGGUCCCAUGUUCAAUCUCUGGCAUCUCCA
RNAcentral lists this transfer RNA (69 nucleotides) under Podarcis lilfordi (Lilford's wall lizard). Its description in RNAcentral is "tRNA.Ala". It matches the Rfam family "tRNA". Rfam says of the family: Transfer RNA (tRNA) molecules are approximately 80 nucleotides in length. Their secondary structure includes four short double-helical elements and three loops (D, anti-codon, and T loops). The record is from RNAcentral. Lineage: Eukaryota; Metazoa; Chordata; Lepidosauria; Squamata; Lacertidae.